This 367-nucleotide long non-coding RNA is filed under the name Nicotiana benthamiana. Its description in RNAcentral is "long non-coding RNA (NBEN_LNC007052)". The record is from RNAcentral. Lineage: Eukaryota; Viridiplantae; Streptophyta; Magnoliopsida; Solanales; Solanaceae.
AUGUAAGGCCUGUGCUCCACGAAAGGUUUCAAAUGCCAGAAUGGUUUCAAAACCAUGGAAUUCCCGCUUAUUGAUUUAUGGAGUGACAAAUAUAUGAUGAUCUCAGCAAGUGAAAUUAUUGAUAUUCAGGGAGACACCUAUACUCUAAUAUGUUGUACAAGGUUAGUACUUCUUCGCCGGAAGAACGAAUUUUUGGCAAGUGAAAUUGUUUCUAUUCAGGGAGACACCUAUACUCUAAUAUGUUGUAUAAGGUUAGUACUACUUCGCCGGAAGAACGAAUUUUUGUAUAGCUUAUUUGUGCAGAGGAGUAACCAUCUACAAAGUCCCAACUUCCUCAUGUCUCACUUGAUGUUCUCCAUUCUUCAUC